GUCAUUAGCCACCUGCGCGAGACCAUCAGGAGGUUCCAGGAGCAGACGCGGCUGAUCGCUGAGGUGGAGGGCGAGAACCAGACACUGCGAGAGACGGUCGAGUCGCUCCACUGGCAGCUGGCUAAACAGAAACACCGGCAGAACCCGGAUAACACCCAGAUACGCUGCAUCGAAUCUAAGCUGGACGAGAUCGACCGGCAGUAUCGGCGGCGCGCUUCCCACCUGCAGGCCAUCUUGCAGCAGCUGGAGCAGUGCAGCCUCUCGUCCCGCUCCAUAGAUGACACUAGUUGGACCUAGCGUCGCAGGCGCCCGCCAGCGGCGGGCGGCGCACCGCCGCGCGCUGCAGGAAGCUGCCGCACGUCAGCGCGGAAUGUCGACUGACGGGUCCGAGCUGUCGCCCGCCGUAGUGUGUCGACAGGGAUGUCACCAUUGUGCCGCGUCAUGGUGGCUGGCGAACGACUACGCUUCCCACGACUCGGCACUGUCGGCCGACCGCCACCGCGCCGUCCCGUACAAAAUCGCCCGCCGCUCGGCAGAGAUGUGUUGAUUAUGAUGCUCCAGCCGUCGGCCGGGCUUGAUGAUUGCUGUUAAAUAUACGUCG
Pollicipes pollicipes is the source of this 601-nucleotide long non-coding RNA. RefSeq lists it as uncharacterized. Lineage: Eukaryota; Metazoa; Arthropoda; Thecostraca; Pollicipedomorpha; Pollicipedidae. The record is from RefSeq and is a predicted model, not a curated record. The transcript has 3 exons.